The sequence is a ribosomal RNA, 1856 nucleotides long. It matches the Rfam family "Eukaryotic large subunit ribosomal RNA", at positions 24 to 1888 of the family's 3401-position model. The record is from Rfam.
CCCGCUGAACUUAAGCAUAUCAAUAAGCGGAGGAAAAAGAAACCAACAGGGAUUGCCCUAGUAACGGCGAGUGAAGCGGCAACAGCUCAAAUUUGAAAUCUGGCUCUUUCAGAGUCCGAGUUGUAAUUUGCAGAGGGCGCUUUGGCGUUGGCAGCGGUCCAAGUUCGGAUUUGGAACAGGACGUCACAGAGGGUGAGAAUCCCGUACGUGGUCGCUAGCCUUCGCCGUGUAAAGCCCCUUCGACGAGUCGAGUUGUUUGGGAAUGCAGCUCUAAAUGGGAGGUAAAUUUCUUCUAAAGCUAAAUACUGGCCAGAGACCGAUAGCGCACAAGUAGAGUGAUCGAAAGAUGAAAAGCACUUUGGAAAGAGAGUCAAAUAGCACGUGAAAUUGUUGAAAGGGAAGCGCUUGCAGCCAGACUUGCCUGUAGUUGCUUAUCUGGACUUUUGUCCAGUGCACUCUUCUGCGGGCAGGCCAGCAUCAGUUUGGGCGGUUGGAUAAAGGUCUCUGUCAUGUACCUCCUUUCGGGGAGGCCUUAUAGGGGAGACGACAUGCAACCAGCCUGGACUGAGGUCCGCGCAUCUGCUAGGAUGCUGGCGUAAUGGCUGUAAGCGGCCCGUCUUGAAACACGGACCAAAGGAGUCUAACAUCUAUGCGAGUGUUUGGGUGUCAAGCCCAGACGCGUAAUGAAAGUGAACGGAGGUGGGAACCUUUUAGGUGCACCAUCGACCGAUCCUGAUGUCUUCGGAAGGAUUUGAGUAAGAGCAUAGCUGUUGGGACCCGAAACACGAUGGUGAACUAUGCUUGAAUAGGGUGAAGCCAGAGGAAACUCUGGUGGAGGCUCGCAGCGGUUCUGACGUGCAAAUCGAUCGUCAAAUUUGGGCAUAGGGGCGAAAGACUAAUCGAACUAUCUAGUAGCUGGUUCCUGCCGAAGUUUCCCUCAGGAUAGCAGUAACGUAUUCAGUUUUAUGAGGUAAAGCGAAUGAUUAGAGGCCUGGGGGUUGAAACAACCUUCACCUAUUCUCAAACUUUAAAUAUGUAAGAAGUCCUUGUUACUUGAUUGAACGUGGACACUUGAAUGUACCGUUACUAGUGGGCCAUUUUUGGUAAGCAGAACUGGCGAUGCGGGAUGAACCGAACGCGGGGGUUAAGGUGCCCAGAAAUAUACGCUCAUCAGACACCCACAAAAGGUGUUAGUUCAUCUAGACAGCAGGACGGAUGGCCAUGGAAGUCGGAAUCCGCUAAGGAGUGUGUAACAACUCACCUGCCGAAUGAACUAGCCCUGAAAAUGGAUGGCGCUCAAGCGUAUUACCCAUACCCCGCCGCCGGGGCAGAAUUUAUGCCCCGGCGAGUAGGCAGGCGUGGAGGCUCGUGACGAAGCCUUGGGGGUGACCCCGGGUCGAACGGCCUCUAGUGCAGAUCUUGGUGGUAGUAGCAAAUACUCAAAUGAGAACUUUGAGGACUGAAGUGGGGAAAGGUUCCGUGUGAACAGCAGUUGGACACGGGUUAGUCGAUCCUAAGAGAUAGGGUAGUUCCGUUUUAAUGUUGGCGCUUGCGCCACGCCCUCGAAAGGGAAGCCGGUUAACAUUCCGGCACCUGGAUGUAGAUUCUCCGCGGCAACGCAACUGAGAGCGGAGACCUUGGCGGGAGCCCCAAGAAGAGUUCUCUUUUCUUCUUAACGGUCUGUCACCCUGAAAUCGGUUUGUCCGGAGCUAGGGUUCAAUGGCCGGAAGAGCGCUGCACUUUUGUGGCGUUUGGUGCGCUCCCGACGAGCCUUGAAAAUCCGCUUGAAGAAAUAGUUUUUACGCCAGGUCGUACUCAUAACCGCAGCAGGUCUCCAAGGUGAAAAGCCUCUAGUU